This is an RNA transcript of Salmo salar (Atlantic salmon), 4198 nucleotides long. It is a transcript of the gene named PRELI domain containing protein 3B, with no coding region annotated. The record is from RefSeq and is a predicted model, not a curated record. Lineage: Eukaryota; Metazoa; Chordata; Actinopteri; Salmoniformes; Salmonidae.
UAAAUCUUCCUCAUAGGUAGUUAUUCAAAUUCGCAUUUGAUAUAACAAACAUACACACGGCAACAUGCCAAAAACUUGUGCCUGCCAGAAGAACGUCCUGUCCAGUAGUAGGCGCGUGCGUUUUUUCCUCCCACUUCGUCUCUGCGUCGUCGACCGCUGUCAAUCAACGCCGGGGAAUGCGGCGGAAGUGCGCAACACAAACACAUGUCCCAUGACUGCGCGUCGUAGGUGGUGGAGGAGGGGUUUGCGCUGGGUCUUUUCUGAACGUGAGCGGUUUUCCUAACAGUGUGACUGCAAUCACCGGCUGAUUCACUCCUAAGCUCCCCAUCUCAACCACCAUGAAGAUCUGGACGUCGGAACACAUUUUCAACCAUCCCUGGGAGACAGUCACUAAGGCUGCCAUGCAGAAGUACCCCAAUCCCAUGAACCCCAGUGUGUUUGGGGUGGAUGUGUUGGACCGUAGUGUGGACACACGGGGACGCCUGCACAGCAACAGACUGCUGAGCGCUGAGUGGGGUCUGCCCUCCAUCGUCAAGUCGAUCAUUGGCAGAACACAGACGUGCACCUACAUCCAGGAACAUUCUGUAGUGGAUCCCGUUGAAAAGACAUUCGAGCUUCAAUCUUCAAAUGUGAAGAAGACUGAUUCGGAGGUCCUUGGCUGGCGUGGUUACACGUGGUCUGCAGUUGUGAGGCCAGUUGGACGUACUGCCAAAUUCUCUAAAACAAGAUCACAUUCACUAACAUGGUAUCAGUGGAUGAGAAGCUUACAUACAGACCACAUCCUGAUGACGCAGAGAAGACGAUAUUGACUCAAGAAGCUCUCAUCUCAGUCAAAGGGGUUAGUCUGAGUAGCUACCUGGAGGGAGUUAUGGCUAGCACCAUGUCUGCAAACGCAGGCAAGGGUCGUGAGGCGAUGGAGUGGGUGAUCAGGAAGCUAAAUGCAGAGAUCGAAGAGCUGGCAGCCGCCGCUCGCAGCACCAUAAGGACUCCCAUGGCUGCUGCUAUGACUUCAGAGAAAUAAUACCUCUAUGUUCCCAGCUUCCAGCCUGGGGACAUUGUUCUUCUCCUGUGUCAGAACAGACUCCACCUCCCUUUAUACUGCUCUGAUUCUCAUCAACUGGUCUGAAGUCUAAGCCAGCCAGGAAUCAGAUCUCCAAGUUUGAUUACAAUUCAAGUACUGUAUUUAUGAUUAAUAUAUUGUUAUUAUUUAAGUACUAACUGAAAUGAAGGGAACAACGGUAAUUCCAAUAUAUAUUUUUGAACAUUUUAUAGGAGAGGACCAUCUCAAAUGCCGUGUCUGUUGGAGUAGAAUCUAAAUAUGCUCAGUGCCCAAGUUUGAGACUAGAGCAGGUCAUGUUAUCAGCAUGCACUAGUACUAAGUAAUAACCUCGGGGACAGUGUCAAAUAUAGAGGACGGUUCAGUGAGUAACAACUUGGUUCUGCACUGAUCUUGUUGGACAGUGCUAGCCUGGUGCCAGAGUUGGCAAGAGAGCACAAACAGGUCUGGGACCAGGCUAAGACCAUAUCAGAGGUUAUUGAAUAAAUCCUGGGGAUACAAUCACCUGUCCCUUUAACAGACAGAACAAGAACCGUUUCAACAUGCUGCAUUUGAUACCGUUUUCCCUGCGGAAAGCUGCACCUACAUUAAGAAUGGUAUGGCGUGGUUGGGUUUUUUUAAUACUUGACAGUGACAUAUAUUUAUUGAGUGAAAUCACUGACAAGGGGGGAAUCAAAUGUGAAUUUGGGAAGAAUUAACAGAUAAGAAACGUAUGGUUGAGUCCUCACUAAAUAUUACUAAUGGUUAUUCUUCGGUGCCUCAGAAGUCUGACCCUCUGCCAGCACAAAAUGUCUGUGUUCUCGGAGUGUUCUGACCCCAACAAUGAAUGCAUUUAACGCACAUACUGUACAGAAGAGAGGGCUCGUGCUCCGGGCCCUCCAGUAAUGUUCUGCAUUCUCUCCCAAGAGUCAAACUAAGUAUUUUAAAUAAUAUAAAAGAACUGUUUUGGUUAAAUGUUCUGUACUGCUGUAGUCUCCAGUAUGUUAUGGAAAUGUCUGCUAUGUUUGACGUAUGGAGAGAACAUAUUAUUUAUUUUAUUUAUAUAGAGUGAUGAAUGUGUUUUUAAUUUGGUUGUAAACAAUGGUAUUUGUUGUCAGUGGUACUUACUGCCUGGGAUGUCCAGUAUAUAUUCUAGAUCGUAACGCUGAGGAGAUCAAAUGCCUCUGCUACCAACUGUCUAAGGGCCGGUUUCCCAUACGCAGAUCAAGCUUAGCACUGGACUAUUUAUGUUUUUUUUUCUUCAAAUCCAGGACUAGGUGUAAUCUGUGCAAACCGGACCUGAAUGUCAUGGGUCUAUGGUGAAAACUUGUGUUGUCAAGGAAAGAUGCUACAGUCAGUACGUGUGAUGUAUGCAUUCCAAAAACCAGGCCAGUUUGCAUUCUCAAUACAAAUGUGUUAUGUUGCCAGUCAGUUCUAAUAUGCUUUAAAGUGGUAAUGUAAGAUAUUCUAGGUUUGUUAUUUGUCAGUGAAUGUUCUGUUCUGACAUGACCUGAUGUUAGAACAAAGGGACAUGUUGAUCGUUCUGACGUGACCUGAUAUUAGAACAGAGACAUUGUUGAUCGUUCUGACGUGACCUGAUAUUAGAACAGAGACAUUGUUGAUCGUUCUGACGUGACCUGAUGUUAGAACAGAGACAUUGUUGAUCGUUCUGACGUGACCUGAUAUUAGAACAGAGACAUUGUUGAUCGUUCUGACGUGACCUGAUAUUAGAACAGAGACAUUGUUGAUCGUUCUGACGUGACCUGAUGUUAGAACAGAGACAUUGUUGAUCGUUCUGACGUGACCUGAUAUUAGAACAGAGACAUUGUUGAUCGUUCUGACGUGACCUGAUGUUAGAACAAAGGGACAUGUUGAUCGUUCUGACGUGACCUGAUGUUAGAACAGAGACAUUGUUGAUCGUUCUGACGUGACCUGAUAUUAGAACAGAGACAUUGUUGAUCGUUCUGACGUGACCUGAUGUUAGAACAAAGGGACAUGUUGAUCGUUCUGACGUGACCUGAUAUUAGAACAGAGACAUGUUGAUCGUUCUGACGUGACCUGAUGUUAGAACAGAGACAUGUUGAUCGUUCUGACGUGACCUGAUGUUAGAACAGAGACAUGUUGAUCGUUCUGACGUGACCUGAUAUUAGAACAGAGACAUGUUGAUCGUUCUGACGUGACCUGAUAUUAGAACAGAGACAUUGUUGAUCGUUCUGACGUGACCUGAUGUUAGAACAGAGACAUUGUUGAUCGUUCUGACAUGACCUGAUGUUAGAACAGAGACAUUGUUGAUCGUUCUGACGUGACCUGAUGUUAGAACAAAGGGACAUGUUGAUCGUUCUGACGUGACCUGAUAUUAGAACAGAGACAUUGUUGAUCGUUCUGACGUGACCUGAUGUUAGAACAGAGACAUUGUUGAUCGUUCUGACGUGACCUGAUGUUAGAACAGAGACAUUGUUGAUCGUUCUGACGUGACCUGAUAUUAGAACAGAGACAUGUUGAUCGUUCUGACGUGACCUGAUAUUAGAACAGAGACAUUGUUGAUCGUUCUGACGUGACCUGAUGUUAGAACAGAGACAUUGUUGAUCGUUCUGACGUGACCUGAUGUUAGAACAAAGGGACAUGUUGAUCGUUCUGACGUGACCUGAUGUUAGAACAGAGACAUUGUUGAUCGUUCUGACGUGACCUGAUGUUAGAACAGAGACAUUGUUGAUCGUUCUGACGUGACCUGAUGUUAGAACAGAGACAUUGUUGAUCGUUCUGACGUGACCUGAUGUUAGAACAGAGACAUUGUUGAUCGUUCUGACGUGACCUGAUGUUAGAACAGAGACAUUGUUGAUCGUUCUGACGUGACCUGAUAUUAGAACAGAGACAUGUUGAUCGUUCUAACGUGACCUGAUGUUAGAACAAAGGGACAUGUUGAUCGUUCUAACCUUCAGACAUAUGUGUAAGGAGUAAUUUGUGGGUGUUUUUUUAUUAUUUUAAACCCAUAUUUAGAAUAAAAUAACUUAACUCUACACCUGCACAACAAUACAACUUAGUUGGUGCUGAAAUCAUAAUGGAUUAAAAUGCUUCUGUAAACUCAAGUUCCAAACGGUCAAACAGAAAUGAAGACCAGCUAUGUUGGUUUACAUGAAAAAAAAUAAAGUCCUCUGAAAUAUG